Molecule: ribosomal RNA, 694 nt
Filed under: Marmoricola sp. P3727
Lineage: Bacteria; Bacillati; Actinomycetota; Actinomycetes; Propionibacteriales; Nocardioidaceae
Description: bacterial SSU rRNA
Rfam family: Bacterial small subunit ribosomal RNA
Source: RNAcentral
UCAGGACGAACGCUGGCGGCGUGCUUAACACAUGCAAGUCGAGCGGUAAGGCCCUUCGGGGUACACGAGCGGCGAACGGGUGAGUAACACGUGAGCAAUCUGCCCUUCACUCUGGGAUAACCCUCGGAAACGGGAGCUAAUACCGGAUAUGACCACUUCACGCAUGUGAUGGUGGUGGAAAGUUCUGGCGGUGGAGGAUGAGCUCGCGGCCUAUCAGCUUGUUGGUGAGGUAAUGGCUCACCAAGGCUUCGACGGGUAGCCGGCCUGAGAGGGUGACCGGCCACACUGGGACUGAGACACGGCCCAGACUCCUACGGGAGGCAGCAGUGGGGAAUAUUGGACAAUGGGCGAAAGCCUGAUCCAGCAACGCCGCGUGAGGGAUGACGGCCUUCGGGUUGUAAACCUCUUUCAGCAGGGACGAAGCGCAAGUGACGGUACCUGCAGAAGAAGCACCGGCCAACUACGUGCCAGCAGCCGCGGUAAUACGUAGGGUGCGAGCGUUGUCCGGAAUUAUUGGGCGUAAAGGGCUCGUAGGCGGUUUGUCGCGUCGGGAGUGAAAACUCAGGGCUUAACCCUGAGCCUGCUUCCGAUACGGGCAGACUAGAGGUAUGCAGGGGAGAACGGAAUUCCUGGUGUAGCGGUGAAAUGCGCAGAUAUCAGGAGGAACACCGGUGGCGAAGGCGGUUCUCUGGGC